Bombus pascuorum is the source of this 506-nucleotide long non-coding RNA. RefSeq lists it as uncharacterized. NCBI's taxonomy places the organism in Eukaryota, Metazoa, Arthropoda, Insecta, Hymenoptera, Apidae. The record is from RefSeq and is a predicted model, not a curated record. The transcript has 2 exons.
UUAUAUAAAUGAUAAUGUCAUGAACAAUUUAUAGUUUCGGUAAUAUCCGCCAUUUAAUUAACUAUUUUCAAAGAAUUUAAGUAAUAUAUUCACAUUUAACAUUUAGAUACUUGUAAUCAAAAUAACCAGCGAAAUUAUUAUAAAUUAAUAUUUCGCGCGCAAACAGAAACUAAAAUUUUAUCUGAUUGGGGCACCUCCCAGGAUGUUAGAUCUUACAAAGGCUAAAUUAGCGAUUUAUUUCUUACCAACUCCUAAGUGUUCUUUAACUUGCUUCCAUGCCAUUGUCAUUUUAAUUAAAAGCUUAUUAUAACAAGGAUGACCAGUGCUUGGAUGUUAUCACGAUGAUGAGAACACGAAGACCACAAGUACACCACGAAAUAUGUCCUAGCUUAUAGAUAUUCAAAUGUACUGUAUAUUUUUUCACAUCAGAAACCGCGAAAAAUAGAAUUUCUUAAACUGACCCUACCACAUUUGUAGUAAUUUUCAAUAAAUUUAUUCAUAUAAUA